This 516-nucleotide ribosomal RNA is filed under the name Clavispora lusitaniae. RNAcentral describes it as "LSU rRNA". It matches the Rfam family "Eukaryotic large subunit ribosomal RNA", at positions 62 to 648 of the family's 3401-position model. The record is from RNAcentral. Lineage: Eukaryota; Fungi; Ascomycota; Pichiomycetes; Serinales; Metschnikowiaceae.
AAACCAACAGGGAUUGCCCCAGUAACGGCGAGUGAAGCGGCAAAAGCUCAAAUUUGAAAUCCUGCGGGAAUUGUAAUUUGAAGGUUUCGUGGUCUGAGUCGGCCGCGCCCAAGUCCAUUGGAACAUGGCGCCUGGGAGGGUGAGAGCCCCGUAUGGCGCACGCCGACUCUUUGCACCGCGGCUCCGACGAGUCGAGUUGUUUGGGAAUGCAGCUCUAAGUGGGUGGUAAAUUCCAUCUAAAGCUAAAUAUUGGCGAGAGACCGAUAGCGAACAAGUACAGUGAUGGAAAGAUGAAAAGCACUUUGAAAAGAGAGUGAAACAGCACGUGAAAUUGUUGAAAGGGAAGGGCUUGCAAGCAGACACGGUUUUACCGGGCCAGCGUCGAAAAGGGGGGAGGAAAAGGGGUAAAGAAUGUGGCGCGCACCUUCGGGCGCGCGUGUUAUAGCUUUUGUUAAUGCCCCCAUCCCUUUUUGAGGCCUGCGAUUCUAGGACGCUGGCGUAAUGGUUGCAAGCCGC